RNAcentral lists this transfer RNA (71 nucleotides) under Bacillus phage Deep Blue. It matches the Rfam family "tRNA". Rfam says of the family: Transfer RNA (tRNA) molecules are approximately 80 nucleotides in length. Their secondary structure includes four short double-helical elements and three loops (D, anti-codon, and T loops). Lineage: Duplodnaviria; Heunggongvirae; Uroviricota; Caudoviricetes; Herelleviridae. The record is from Rfam by way of RNAcentral.
GGGGGUUUAGUUUAGUGGAAAAAUGACAGGCUCCAAACCUGUAGUCCGAGGUUCGAUUCCUUGCGCCCUUG